This 305-nucleotide ribosomal RNA is filed under the name uncultured bacterium. RNAcentral's name for it is "bacterial SSU rRNA". It matches the Rfam family "Bacterial small subunit ribosomal RNA", at positions 336 to 638 of the family's 1533-position model. The record is from RNAcentral.
CUCCUACGGGAGGCAGCAGUGAGGAAUAUUGGUCAAUGGCCGAGAGGCUGAACCAGCCAAGUCGCGUGAGGGAAGAAUGUCCUAUGGAUUGUAAACCUCUUUUGUCAGGGAGCAAAGUCACCCACGUGUGGGUGUUGGAGAGUACCUGAAGAAAAAGCAUCGGCUAACUCCGUGCCAGCAGCCGCGGUAAUACGUAGGGAGCAAGCGUUAUCCGGAAUUAUUGGGUGUAAAGGGUGCGUAGACGGGACAGCAAGUUAGUUGUGAAAGCCCUCGGCUUAACUGCGGAACUGCAACUAAAACUAUUG